AUUAGUAAUAGCGUUUGUAUAUAACCAAAAACCCGAAUCCAAUUGAUAUAACCUUGUUCAGAAUGAAAUAUAAAUAACUUUAUAUAGAAGUUCGAACUGAUUAAUGCUGCAAAAUUAUCAGAAGAAAUGAGGUUAGUUGUGAAAUGCUUGUCGAAUUUGGAGCUAGCUGGUUCUCCCCGAAAUGUAUUGAGGCGCAGCUAUUAUAAUAUAUAUAAAAAGGGUAAAGCACUGUUUUUAAAAUCACUAUAAACUAAUAAUAUUUUUAUAUUAACAUUAUAAUAAGUGAGACUUUUAGGGAUAAUCUUAUAAGUCAAAAGGGAAACAACCCAGACCAUAAACUAAGAUAAAAAUAUAACGAAAAUUUUAAAGGAUGUGGAGUUGUUACGUAUACAACCAGAAGGUUAGCUUAGAAGCAGUUUUCCUUUAAAAAGUGCGUAAAAGCUUACUGGUAAAGUAAUUCUGCACCUAAAAUGAACAAUAAAAUAUUUUUUUAUCGAAGUAAUGGGAUCUAUUAAUUAAAAAUAGAUCGGUAGGGGAGCGUUCUACAUUAAAAUAAAGCAAAGUUAUUAAAUUUUGUGAAUAAAGUAGAAGUGAGAAUGUCGGUUUAAGUAACUUAAAUAUUAAGAAGAAUCUAAUACCUCAAAAACUCAAAAGGUUCCUAUGAAAGGAUAAACCGCAUAGGGUUAGUCGGGGCCUAAGAUAAGAAAUUUAUUGUAAUUGAUGGGAAUCAAGUUAAUAUUCUUGAACCAUAUUUAUAUAGUAUACAAGUAGUGACCUAAAUAUAAAUUCUAAGUAAUAUAAUAAAUGAUUUUUACUUAGAAAUAAAAUUUUUGCUAGAAAAAUGAUAUUGUAUAAUUAUAGAUAUGCCCGUACUAAAACUGACACAAGUGAGUAGGUACUAUAACGUACUAAGAGGACGAAAUAAAUUUCUUUAAGGAACUCGGCAAAACAAUCCUGUAACUUCGGGAUAAAGGAUGCCUAUAAGGCUGCAAUUAAAAAGUUCAAGCGACUGUUUAUCAAAAACACAGGUAUCCGCAAAAUGUAAUUAUGAAGUAAGGAUACUGACACCUGCCCAGUGCUAGUAAGUUAAAAAAAAUUUUUAUGUUAUACAAAUAAUUUUUUUAUAAGCUCUAGUAAACGGCGGCUGUAACUAUAACGGUCCUAAGGUAGCGAAAUUCAUUGUCGGGUAAGUUCCGACCCGCACGAAAGGUGUAACGACUUGAACACUGUCUUUAAGAAAUAUUCGGUGAAAUAGAAAUGUU
This 1262-nucleotide ribosomal RNA is filed under the name Toxoplasma gondii GT1. RNAcentral's name for it is "LSU rRNA". It matches the Rfam family "Bacterial large subunit ribosomal RNA", at positions 683 to 2051 of the family's 2925-position model. The record is from RNAcentral. Lineage: Eukaryota; Apicomplexa; Conoidasida; Eucoccidiorida; Sarcocystidae.